GGUGCACUAACAGGCACUAGCAAAUAAAAAUAAAACACAAGGCUCAAAACAGAGAGGAAGGUUCCAGGUACUUGUGUAUUUCUUUAAGCUGCUGCAUAGAGAGGAAGGUUCUGGGUACUUGAGUAUUUCUUUAAGGUACUGCACAGAGAAGAAGGUUCCGGGUACUUGCAUGUUUCUUUGAGGUGCUGCAUAGAGAGCAAGGUUCCGGGUAUUUGCAUGUUUCUUUAAGGUGCUGCAUAGAGACGAAGGUUCUGGGUACUUACAUGUUUCUUGGAGGUGCUGCAUAGAGAGCAAGGUUCCGGGUACUUGCAUGUUUCUUGGAGGUGCUGCUAAGUCCAGCACUGUAUACUGCAC
Long non-coding RNA from Sapajus apella (tufted capuchin), 354 nucleotides. RefSeq lists it as uncharacterized. The record is from RefSeq and is a predicted model, not a curated record. The transcript has 4 exons. NCBI's taxonomy places the organism in Eukaryota, Metazoa, Chordata, Mammalia, Primates, Cebidae.